Molecule: long non-coding RNA, 768 nt
Organism: Megalobrama amblycephala (Wuchang bream)
Lineage: Eukaryota; Metazoa; Chordata; Actinopteri; Cypriniformes; Xenocyprididae
Exons: 3
Source: RefSeq, a predicted model, not a curated record
ACUGUGUGCUUUUACUUUUGUUAUUCUGCAUGUGUUGUUCAGUCAGAUGGAACAACGUUUGCUUGCUAACACUUCACGAUAACUAUUUCACUUCUUUGUUUUACUUAGAACAAAUUAUUGCAAUGUAACACACACUUCAGCGUUAAUGUACAUGUGAAUAUAAGUCAUGCAUUGAUUCUCAGGUGGUAUACGAUGGAUAAAAGCACCUGUCAAAUUAACACUAACAGUAAAUCAAAUAUUACAGAUUUCAUCAUGAUUGGGAGAUUCCUGCUCAUUUCAGCAGCUGAAAACUGGUGUUUGUAUCUGUUGCGUCAUUCAGUGUCGGAUUGAAAGCAGGAGGCUGUUAAAGCUGAAGUGAAUCACUCACUCACACACACUCACACACACACACUCACACACUCAGAGUUGAGAUGAGAUGGGGGUCGAGCUCUCCUCAUGCCGUGGCUGAUAAUAAUUGAUUGAUGACGGGUCGUUUGCUGAUGACAGGUUAGUUGCGAAGCCUUUAGUCCUGCUGGUUCAGCCCUCACAUGUGUGAAAUAGCCAAUUACAUCUCUGGAGCUUCACAGUGAGACCGAUGAACAUAAGAGACAAUUACACUUACGUGUGUGUGUGUGUGUGUGUGUGUGUGUGUGUGAAAGAGAUAAAGCUGGUUAUGGCAGCUGUGUUAGGUUAAAUUCAGCCUGAUAAACCUAAGUAUUUAUGUUUAAUAUGUAUUUUUUUAAAUGUGUUUUAAUAUGCUAAAAUGACCAAAAUAUACAAUUAACAUGU